RNAcentral lists this ribosomal RNA (977 nucleotides) under uncultured bacterium. RNAcentral's name for it is "bacterial SSU rRNA". It matches the Rfam family "Bacterial small subunit ribosomal RNA", at positions 8 to 981 of the family's 1533-position model. The record is from RNAcentral.
AGAGUUUGAUCCUGGCUCAGAUUGAACGCUGGCGGCAGGCCUAACACAGGCAAGUCGAGCGGUAACAGAAAGUAGCUUGCUACUUUGCUGACGAGCGGCGGACGGGUGAGUAAUGCUUGGGAACAUGCCUUGAGGUGGGGGACAACAGUUGGAAACGACUGCUAAUACCGCAUAAUGUCUACGGACCAAAGGGGGCUUCGGCUCUCGCCUUUAGAUUGGCCCAAGUGGGAUUAGCUAGUUGGUGAGGUAAUGGCUCACCAAGGCGACGAUCCCUAGCUGGUUUGAGAGGAUGAUCAGCCACACUGGGACUGAGACACGGCCCAGACUCCUACGGGAGGCAGCAGUGGGGAAUAUUGCACAAUGGGCGCAAGCCUGAUGCAGCCAUGCCGCGUGUGUGAAGAAGGCCUUCGGGUUGUAAAGCACUUUCAGUCAGGAGGAAAGGUUAGUAGUUAAUACCUGCUAGCUGUGACGUUACUGACAGAAGAAGCACCGGCUAACUCCGUGCCAGCAGCCGCGGUAAUACGGAGGGUGCGAGCGUUAAUCGGAAUUACUGGGCGUAAAGCGUACGCGGGCGGUUUGUUAAGCGAGAUGUGAAAGCCCCGGGCUCAACCUGGGAACUGCAUUUCGAACUGGCAAACUAGAGUGUGAUAGAGGGUGGUAGAAUUUCAGGUGUAGCGGUGAAAUGCGUAGAGAUCUGAAGGAAUACCGAUGGCGAAGGCAGCCACCUGGGUCAACACUGACGCUCAUGUACGAAAGCGUGGGGAGCAGACAGGAUUAGAUACCCUGGUAGUCCACGCCGUAAACGAUGUCUACUAGAAGCUCGGAACCUCGGUUCUGUUUUUCAAAGCUAACGCAUUAAGUAGACCGCCUGGGGAGUACGGCCGCAAGGUUAAAACUCAAAUGAAUUGACGGGGGCCCGCACAAGCGGUGGAGCAUGUGGUUUAAUUCGAUGCAACGCGAAGAACCUUACCUACACU